UCCACCACGGGGCCAGCAUCCGGUUGAUGACGGAUGGUGCAGGCGGUAUGCGGAGUCGCUGGGGGUAGAAGGUGCGUAGGAGGGCAGGUAGGGCAGUGGUGAGAUCCCCGAGCUUAACUUGGGAACUGACGGUGAGACUAUCGCGCUUGAAUACCGUGGAGUGGAGCGGAAUAUGUCAGGUAGCGGUGAAAGGCGUAGAUAUGACAUAGAACACCAAUUGCGAAGGCAGCUCGCUACACGAAUAUGGACUCUGAGGCUCGAAGGCGUGGGGAUCAAACAGGAUUAGAUACCCGGGUAGUC
RNAcentral lists this ribosomal RNA (300 nucleotides) under uncultured Halarchaeum sp. RNAcentral's name for it is "bacterial SSU rRNA". It matches the Rfam family "Bacterial small subunit ribosomal RNA", at positions 496 to 795 of the family's 1533-position model. The record is from RNAcentral. Lineage: Archaea; Methanobacteriati; Methanobacteriota; Halobacteria; Halobacteriales; Halobacteriaceae.